Drosophila montana is the source of this 1326-nucleotide long non-coding RNA. RefSeq lists it as uncharacterized. The record is from RefSeq and is a predicted model, not a curated record. NCBI's taxonomy places the organism in Eukaryota, Metazoa, Arthropoda, Insecta, Diptera, Drosophilidae. The transcript has 2 exons.
CUUUAUUUAUAGCCUUUCCGUGGUAGCGAGGAGGUGGCGAUAGGUAUAAAAUGAAAGAUACUUGAUAUAUAUAUACUAUUCUAGAAGCUACAUGUCAAGUUUGGUGACUCUAGCUCAUAUUAUUUGCCCUAAUCGCUCAAAAAGCAGGAUUUCGAUAUCGAUUUUUAUCGGUUACAUGGAAGCGGGGCCAAGUAUCGAACAUCGGAAACAAACUCGAUCUGCGCGGGCAGAUCAAGAAUAUACAUACUUUAUGGGGUCGGAGAUGCUUCCUUCUGCCAGUUACAUACAUUUGCACAAAUACAAUAUACCCUGUUUACCCAUUUUUAAUGGGUUCAGGGUAUAAAAAGAGUUAAAUUAGGCAACAUAUGCACGUCCUUAACAUAAAAUCAUGCAUAAUGCAAUUUUUAAGCACGUAAACUCUAUAUUAAAUUGUGAUUUCAUUUUGCAAAGAAUCAGUUGACAUCACAAUGUUUUCCGAAUUUUAGUGCAUUUAUACCCUGAACACAUAGCGGAAAUGCGUUUUCCCGCUUUGCAAUCAGAGGGUAUCUCGUGUCUGACUUAGCACUUUUACUUGUUUUUUCUGUGAUCCGAUUACAAACGAGAUGUCGAUUUUUUCGAUAUUUUCGACCCCCCAGUAGUCGUAUAUAAAAUUGUUGUUAUUAACCUUAAAAACUGUGCCAGGCCCCAUGUUCAUGGGUCCAUUUAUAAAGACUCUCAUCUGUAGCUUUGCUUCCAAAUUUGGUGAUUCUAACUAUUAAACUGAACUACAUAUGUAUGUUGAUUUGCCACGACCGCAGCGUACGCAAAAUAUUUUUAGAUCGUUCUUUCGAAGUGUUUAUUCCAAAUGUUGUCACUUAAUCUCUAAAACGAGAAGUUAUUGCUUUUUCUUUUUGCCUGUGAGCGUAGUCAAUUUCAUCACAUCUGACGCAGUAUAUGUUCGAAAUGUCAGGUGUCUAAAUUCAACAGCCCCGAAAAUGAAAUUGCGUUCAAACCCAAAAUAAUUUUCACUUUGUGGACGAGUAUUAAUGUAAACGCAAUUAUUUACGAAUGCGGCAAGACAAAUAGAAUCGCUCGCACUCUUCUACUCAUCUGCUUAUAUAAAUUGUUGGCAACUUGAACAAGAUGGCUACUAGAGCUGCUUUGGAUCCUUUUGAAUUUGGGACGAGUUACAAGAACAAUUUAUGUGACAACACCGAAAAACAAUACUUUCCAAUUGUGCCGAUUGAGGAUAAUCCGUUAACUAGUAAUAAUUUGGUUAUUCAAAAAGCAUGAAGCUGUGUAUUCGUACAUGAUUAUUUUCAAUGUUAAAAAUAUAAAUGAAAAUUA